RNAcentral lists this long non-coding RNA (536 nucleotides) under Marmota monax (woodchuck). The record is from RNAcentral. Lineage: Eukaryota; Metazoa; Chordata; Mammalia; Rodentia; Sciuridae.
GCCAGCCUUUGUGACCUUUGGCUGUAGACCCUUGCAGCGGUGCCUGGACGUGUCCUGUCACUGCCCUAAACCUGCAGUCAUCUUGGGUUCCAGGUACAGCACAGCCUCACAGACAGAUGAUGGAACCCCCCAAGUGGAGGCACUACCCCAGGAGAGGAACAGAGGCUGCCCAGCUCAUGGGCACCUGGCUGCUCCCUCAGGUCUAGUAAGGACCUCUGCAGAGUCUCCAUGCAGAACCAGACCUGAGGUGAUGACCGACAGGACCAUGGCAUGACCACACUGCCUGGGACACGGACCCCUCUGGGCCAGCUUUUGCUUGCUACUGCUGAGCUCCUGUCAGGGCCUGCAGGCAGCGCUGCUGCGGUGCUGGACUCCACUCGCCUUCAACAUGGCCACGCUGAUCAAAGGUCCUUUCCUGCUCUCCACCACUGCUUUUUCCACGUGAUUUCUGGGCUGAGUGGUCAGGCCUGAGUUUUUGGGACCCCCAGAGCUGUGCCUCUGGCCUAGAACUCCAGGAGCAGAAGGGUCUCCUCAAC